CCGAGUUUACAACUCCCAAACCCCUGUGAACAUACCACUUGUUGCCUCGGCGGAUCAGCCCGCUCCCGGUAAAACGGGACGGCCCGCCAGAGGACCCCUAAACUCUGUUUCUAUAUGUAACUUCUGAGUAAAACCAUAAAUAAACCA
This 147-nucleotide unclassified non-coding RNA is filed under the name soil metagenome. RNAcentral's name for it is "partial internal transcribed spacer 1". The record is from RNAcentral.